GACGAACGCUGGCGGCGUGCUUAACACAUGCAAGUCGAACGGUAAGGCCCUUCGGGGUACACGAGUGGCGAACGGGUGAGUAACACGUGGGUGAUCUGCCCUGCACUUCGGGAUAAGCCUGGGAAACUGGGUCUAAUACCGGAUAGGACCACUGCCUGCAUGGGUGGUGGUGGAAAGCUUUUGCGGUGUGGGAUGGGCCCGCGGCCUAUCAGCUUGUUGGUGGGGUGAUGGCCUACCAAGGCGACGACGGGUAGCCGGCCUGAGAGGGUGACCGGCCACACUGGGACUGAGAUACGGCCCAGACUCCUACGGGAGGCAGCAGUGGGGAAUAUUGCACAAUGGGGGCAAGCCUGAUACAGCGACGCCGCGUGAGGGAUGACGGCCUUCGGGUUGUAAACCUCUUUCAGCACCGACGAAGCGCAAGUGACGGUAGGUGCAGAAGAAGGACCGGCCAACUACGUGCCAGCAGCCGCCGUAA
This 478-nucleotide ribosomal RNA is filed under the name uncultured bacterium. Its description in RNAcentral is "partial 16S ribosomal RNA". It matches the Rfam family "Bacterial small subunit ribosomal RNA", at positions 28 to 523 of the family's 1533-position model. The record is from RNAcentral.